AUCCAACCGACGAGUUCCAAAUAAGACGAAACGGGAGUCCUAGAU
Schistosoma mattheei is the source of this 45-nucleotide non-coding RNA. The record is from Rfam. NCBI's taxonomy places the organism in Eukaryota, Metazoa, Platyhelminthes, Trematoda, Strigeidida, Schistosomatidae.